GAUGAACGCUGGCGGCGCGCCUAACACAUGCAAGUCGAACGAUUAAAGCACCUUCGGGUGUGUAUAAAGUGGCGAACGGCUGAGUAACACGUGGGCAACCUGCCCCUUUCAUUGGGAUAGCCACGGGAAACCGUGGAUAAUACCGAAUACUUCGAGACUUCCGCAUGGAAGACUCGAGAAAGCUCCGGCGGGGAGGGAUGGGCCCGCGGCCUGUUAGCUUGUUGGUGGGGUAACGGCCUACCAAGGCAAUGACGGGUAGCUGGGUUGAGAGACCGACCAGCCAGCUUGGGACUGAGACACGGCCCAGACUCCUACGGGAGGCAGCAGUGGGGAAUCUUGCACAAUGGGCGAAAGCCUGAUGCAGCGACGCCGCGUGCGGGAUGAAGGCCUUCGGGUUGUAAACCGCUUUCAGCAGGGACGAGGCGAAAGUGACGGUACCUGCAGAAGAAGCCCCGGCUAACUACGUG
Molecule: ribosomal RNA, 467 nt
Filed under: uncultured bacterium
Lineage: Bacteria
Description: partial 16S ribosomal RNA
Rfam family: Bacterial small subunit ribosomal RNA
Source: RNAcentral